Prionailurus viverrinus (fishing cat) is the source of this 4457-nucleotide RNA transcript. It is a transcript of the gene named fibronectin type III and SPRY domain containing 1 like, with no coding region annotated. NCBI's taxonomy places the organism in Eukaryota, Metazoa, Chordata, Mammalia, Carnivora, Felidae. The record is from RefSeq and is a predicted model, not a curated record. The transcript has 14 exons.
CUUGCAAUGGAGCUUAUGAGAGUGGGGGUGGGGAGAAGAGAUUCAGAGUGCAUUCCAGAGGAAGCUCUACAAAGGAUCAUUUCGACUCUGGCAAAUAAAAAUGAUGAAAUUCAGAACUUUAUUGAUACACUAAAUCAAACACUAAAAGGAGUUCAGGAAAAUUCUUCUAACAUACUUUCAGAGUUAGAUGAAGAAUUUGAUAGUUUAUAUUCUAUUUUGGAUGAGGUGAAAGAAAGUAUGAUUAACAGUAUCAAGCAGGAACAAGCUCGUAAAUCACAAGAGUUACAGAGUCAGCUCAGUCAAUGUAAUAAUGCCUUGGAGAACUCAGAAGAACUACUAGAAUUUGCAACACGGUCAUUAGAUCUAAAGGAACCUGAAGAAUUUUCAAAGGCUGCCAGACAGAUCAAGGAUAGAGUAACAAUGGCUUCAGCCUUUCGCCUUUCUUUGAAACCAAAGGUCAGUGACAACAUGACUCAUUUAAUGGUGGAUUUUUCUCAGGAAAGACAGAUGCUGCAAACUUUGAAGUUUUUGCCAGUUCCUAAAGCUCCAGAGAUAGAUCCAGUAGAGUGUUUGGUGGCUGACAAUUCUGUAACAGUGGCUUGGAGAAUGCCAGAAGAAGAUAAUAAAAUUGAUCAUUUUAUACUGGAAUAUCGGAAAACUAAUUUUGACGGACUUCCACGUGUAAAGGAUGAGCGAUGCUGGGAGAUAAUUGAUAAUAUUAAGGGUACUGAAUAUACACUAUCAGGCUUAAAGUUUGAUUCAAAGUAUAUGAAUUUCAGAGUUCGAGCUUGUAACAAAGCUGUAGCUGGAGAGUAUUCUGAUCCAGUGACUCUAGAGACCAAAGCACUAAACUUCAAUUUGGAUAGCUCAUCAUCCCAUUUGAACCUGAGAGUUGAAGAUACCUGUGUAGAGUGGGAUCCUACAGGAGGAAAAGGUCAAGAAAGUAAAAUGAAAGGAAAAGAGAAUAAGGGCAGAAGUGGCACGCCGUCCCCCAAACGGACAUCUAUAGGCUCCAGGCCACCAGCAGGAAGAGGCAGCAGAGAUCGUUUUACUGGAGAAUCAUACACAGUGCUGGGAGACACUGCUAUUGAAAGUGGACAACAUUAUUGGGAGGUCAAGGCCCAGAAGGAUUGUAAAUCUUACAGUGUGGGGGUAGCAUACAAGACUUUGGGGAAAUUUGACCAAUUAGGAAAGACAAACACUAGUUGGUGUAUCCAUGUCAACAACUGGCUGCAAAACACAUUUGCAGCAAAGCAUAAUAAUAAAGUCAAAGCCUUGGAUGUUACUGUUCCUGAGAGAAUAGGUGUAUUUUGUGAUUUUGAUGGGGGUCAACUUUCUUUCUAUGAUGCAAGCUCAAAACAGUUGUUGUAUUCCUUUAAGACAAAAUUUACUCAGCCAGUACUACCUGGUUUCAUGGUUUGGUGUGGUGGACUUUCUUUGAAUACUGGGAUGCAGGUUCCAAGUGCUGUGAGAACGCUUCAGAAAAGUGAAAAUGGAAUGACGGGUUCAGCUAGCAGCCUAAACAAUAUUACUCAGUAAUGCUUACUCAGAAUAUGUUUCACCCCCUUUGGGUGGCCUUUUCUGUGCAGUUACUAAUCACAGAAAUUUACAAGUGGUGGAAAUCAGGUUUGCUACCUUCUGCUUUAAGGCCUGGGAUGUGUUAGCAUUAAGCAUCUAGUACCAAGUACUCACGGGAACCUACUGUGCAGUAGCAUCAAGCAAGCAGAUUCUGAGCAAGAAACUGAUGUUUCGAAGAACAAAUGGGAAGAAAGGCAGUGUUUAAAUAGUUACAUAGAAACUCAUUUUUGUGUUUCUUGGAUUACUUUGGCUCUCCUAAAAUGUUUAGUUAGUAUGUAGCCCUAGGAUCUGAGAGGAAAGCAUUUAAAUCUUGUCUUCUUUCCCCUGUACUUUCUCUUUAUCUCGUCACUACCUAUUAUUAGGUUCUUACACUGAAGCUUUAAAAAAAAAUACAGUCUUCUAAGUUUGCCUAAAAAUUGAAAUCAUUGGUUGGGGAUGCUAGAAAUGUUUUCUUAAUUGUUGUCCUUUCGUAAAGAAGUUGAGUUUUGCUAAAUUAUCCUCUUUUGUUUUACUGACUAGAUUGUUUAUCAUUUUCUCUUUUCCAAAUAUUGUGACAUUUCUCUUAUUUGAGUUAAAACUCAAAAUAGAGUGGAUAGGAAGACUUUAGCUUAAAAUCACCCAUACAUUAGUUGUCGUCGUUGUUUUUAACCUGCUGCACUAACAGUGGCAAAGGGAUAUUCUUUAUAUGUUGCCUUGUUUAAUUAGACUUCUUUUCAUUCCAUCAUUUUGGAUGAUGGAUAAGAUUUUUUAAAGCUUUCUAUUUUCUGAUUUUGUUGUCACAUUUAGUACUACCUUUAAUAGUUGUCUUGGUAAAAUUCUCACUUGAAUUUGGUAGUAAUUGAUAAUUAUACUGAUUUUUAAUAUUUCUAGUAGGAAUGAAAUUUUAUUAAAGUUUAAAAAAAGGUAGAAAAACCUACAUCAUUUAAGUUUUAUCUAAGAAGAUAGGUUAUAAAGGGAGGUGCCUAAAACUACUGAGGUCAUUUAUGUCUGCUUUUUAAUAAGGUAUGGAAUGGUUUAAACAAGUGUUUUAAAAAAUGUCUACAUAUCUCUGACUUAUUUACCAUAUAAGUUUUUCAAACGUAACUAUUCAGAGGUUAUUUUUCACAUUUGCCUUCCAAAGGGGUAUAAUUCUUCCAAAAAUCGUCAUAGAAUAAUCCUUCCCAACCUUAGGGAAAAUAUGUUAAACCGUGAAUAAAACCCAUGGUUAUUGAGCAGAACAUACCUAUUUUUUAAAAGUUGGUUAAAAUUUUUAAUACAAGUUCUUUGAGCCAAACUGAAAGUUGCGAUUUCAGUAUUUAAGAACUCCUUGAACGUUUUAGGUGGUCUCUGGAAUUUACUUUCUCAUGUUGACCUUUUUUCAUUCUUAUUUUAAGGGUAUUAUGCUCUGACAACCUUCUCCCAAGAAGGGACUAUUGCUGCUUACAUCUGAGCUGCCUUUUACAGAAAAACCUGUGAAAUAGGAAUAGCUCAUUCUCUCCUAAAGUUUACUGUUUACUGAUAUAGGGUGUUUUGUUUUUUGGUAAAACAGACCUAAAUGAGGAAUUUUGUUUGAAUUAGGUAUUAUUUUUCCAGAGGGCAUUUAUAUCUGCACCAUUGUCUCAUGACAUAGUGGUAGUUUUUAAAGACUAUAAGGCAGUUGAGAGAAUGAAGUAUGUCAAUAGAUAUCCUUUUGAUUCUCCAAACAACUAUAAUAUUGGGUUUUGUUCUUCCUAAAGAUUUUGAAAAAAAUUUUUUGGAUAUUCUGUUCCCUACAGUGGUAUUAUUCCAGGACCUAAGAAACAGGAAGUUACAAUUCUCUUUCAUAGAGUCAAAUCUGAAAGCAGUAAUUUAGUGGUGGAGCUGCUUUAUGUGAACAAUUACACAUGUAUAGUUUAGCAAAAUUGACACAGAAAAAGCCAGAAGUUCUCGUAUAAAAUUUUUUACUAUUACGUCUUAUGUAAUUGUGUCUUCUCUUUAAUUCAGUGCCUUCUUCCUCUAAGUGUGCUCUUACUUCAUGCCCCCUGCAGCGUCAACUGAUAAUUUAAGCCAGAGACCAUUAUGUUAUACUGGUGAGGGCCUUCUGUUGCAGGUGUAUGGAGCAGAGGAUUAAUCGGGCUGGAGGAGUGCAUAUGCUUCUAUUCUGUGCUCAUGCCAUCAUUUGAAACCCUUCAUUUAAAUUUUCUAAUAUUCAUUUGGAAAAUUCAUUUGAAGUAAUAACAAGUAUUACUUCAAAAUAAAAAUCUGAGGUUUUCCUGUUACUAUGUAUGCUUCUUAAAGGUCUCUAUAAAGAACAAAAGUUUUAAGUUUAUAUGUGUUAAGUUAAACUGGAAAAGUCUGCCACCCUCCUUUUCAAACUAGAAAAUAAUCAACUGUAGUGCCUAUUUAAAUAGUAUCAAAUUAAGGUAACUCUUAACUUGACUAUAAUAUAUAACAUUCUCAUUGUCAUUUGAAUUAAAAACUAUUGAGCCUUUUUGCUCAAAUUUAAUGCAUUGUGGGAAGAUGGUAUACCCUUUCAGACUUUAUUAGUUUGUUUACUCUUUGUUUUGACAGGUCAAACAUGAUUGCUUUCUGUAAAAGAAAUGCAUGAGAGGUUGACGGUAAUAGAUGUAUUACAGGUUUAACCUUUAAGUUACGGAUGAAGAACAUCAAUGGACACUUUUAAUAUACUCAGUUCUGCAAACUAGUCUUUUAAUAAGCAUAUUGCCUCAUUAUCCUUGGAAACAAGACAAAGCCUUUUAAACUUUAAACUUUUUAACUUCAAAAUAAAGUAUUCAAAGUGGAGUAACUUGAAUGUUGAAAUGAUGGUAUGCUCUGUGUAGAAUGACCGAGCCUAAGUUCUUACAAAAGCACCUGGAAUAUCUCCUCUAAAAAUUAAACUUUUUCUGCUUUCCUUUGCUUCA